This 253-nucleotide ribosomal RNA is filed under the name Dorea longicatena. Its description in RNAcentral is "partial 16S ribosomal RNA". It matches the Rfam family "Bacterial small subunit ribosomal RNA", at positions 524 to 776 of the family's 1533-position model. Lineage: Bacteria; Bacillati; Bacillota; Clostridia; Lachnospirales; Lachnospiraceae. The record is from RNAcentral.
UACGUAGGGGGCAAGCGUUAUCCGGAUUUACUGGGUGUAAAGGGAGCGUAGACGGCACGGCAAGCCAGAUGUGAAAGCUCGGGGCUCAACCCCGGGACUGCAUUUGGAACUGCUGGGCUAGAGUGUCGGAGAGGCAAGUGGAAUUCCUAGUGUAGCGGUGAAAUGCGUAGAUAUUAGGAGGAACACCAGUGGCGAAGGCGGCUUGCUGGACGAUGACUGACGUUGAGGCUCGAAAGCGUGGGGAGCAAACAGG